AUUGAACGCUGGCGGCAUGCUUUACACAUGCAAGUCGAACGGUAACAGGCCUUCGGGUGCUGACGAGUGGCGAACGGGGGAGUAAUGCAUCGGAACGUGCCCAGAGGUGGGGGAUAACGCAGCGAAAGCUGUGCUAAUACCGCAUGUGAUCUGAGGAUGAAAGCGGGGGACCAGGCAGCAAUGUUUGGCCUCGCGCCUUUGGAGCGGCCGAUGUCAGAUUAGGUAGUUGGUGGGGUAAAGGCCUACCAAGCCGACGAUCUGUAGCUGGUCUGAGAGGACGACCAGCCACACUGGGACUGAGACACGGCCCAGACUCCUACGGGAGGCAGCAGUGGGGAAUUUUGGACAAUGGGCGCAAGCCUGAUCCAGCAAUGCCGCGUGAGGGAAGAAGGCCUUCGGGUUGUAAACCGCUUUUGUACGGAACGAAAAGGCUCUGGCUAAUACCUGGGGCUGAUGACGGUACCGUAAGAAUAAGCACCGGCUAACUACGUG
RNAcentral lists this ribosomal RNA (492 nucleotides) under uncultured bacterium. RNAcentral describes it as "partial 16S ribosomal RNA". It matches the Rfam family "Bacterial small subunit ribosomal RNA", at positions 29 to 507 of the family's 1533-position model. The record is from RNAcentral.